Molecule: ribosomal RNA, 79 nt
Filed under: Chitinophagales bacterium
Lineage: Bacteria; Pseudomonadati; Bacteroidota; Chitinophagia; Chitinophagales
Source: RNAcentral
UCCCAUUCCGAACAGAGCAGUUAAGCCCCUUUGCGCCGAUGGUACUUGGUUUUCCUGGGAGAGUAGGUCGCCGCCAAUU